Gymnodraco acuticeps is the source of this 867-nucleotide long non-coding RNA. RefSeq lists it as uncharacterized. The record is from RefSeq and is a predicted model, not a curated record. The transcript has 2 exons. Lineage: Eukaryota; Metazoa; Chordata; Actinopteri; Perciformes; Bathydraconidae.
GGAAGAGGAGUAUGAUCACGGGAUUGAUCCCUUCGAAGAUAAAAAAGACAGAGGAUGAGAGAGGGGAUGCACAAGCCACUGUCCCCAUCAGUAGGCCUCCUUCAAACCGAGAGGGAAAAGAAUGUGGCCAGGAGGGUGCAGCAUCCAGAAAAAAGGCCAAACCAAUGCCAGCCCCCCUGACAGUGAAAGGGAGAGGAAGAGGGAAAGGGAAAAAAACAUCUCUGACCCCAGAAGAGCCAGGAGCUGUUUGGAACGGACCUGAGGUGCCAGAUACUGCCCAACAACUACCACACUUUUGCCCGAAAAGAGCCCGUGGAGUCCAAGGAUUUGUUGGUGUGGAGUAUACUCCUGCACAAAUAUUUAGAAAUUAUUUUAACAACCAAGCUGUAAAUAUCAUCUGCAAGAACACAAACAAAAAUGCUGAAAAGGAGCAGGCUAAGGGGGAAAAGUUUGUUUGGGAAAGCCGGUAAAAUUCCUCAUGUAUGUCGGCCUUAUGAUGUUCAUGGCACUUCUAAAACUGCUCAAAGUAAGAGACUACUGGAGGAAGGGAUCACACCUGAGUGUUCUCUUUCCUGCUUCUAUCAUGACAAGAGACAGGUUCAUGGCAAUCAGCAGAGCUGUACAUCUGAGCGACCCAGACCAUGAUGAAUCUUGAUACAUUUCCUUUGCUCUUUAUAUAUUUUUCUAAUAUUUUGGUUAUAGUUUGAAGAUCAUUUGCUCUUUGUACUUUUGCACUUUCUAUAUAUUCCUAAUACUUUGUUUAUAGUUUUAAUAUAAUUUGCACUUUGUUAAUUUGCACUUUGAAUUUGUUUCACUGUUUGUGUUUGUAUUUCAAUGUUCAAAUUAUAAUAUAUAUCUCUGAAACAA